RNAcentral lists this ribosomal RNA (443 nucleotides) under Conus glans. Its description in RNAcentral is "partial 16S ribosomal RNA". It matches the Rfam family "Bacterial large subunit ribosomal RNA", at positions 1836 to 2539 of the family's 2925-position model. The record is from RNAcentral. Lineage: Eukaryota; Metazoa; Mollusca; Gastropoda; Neogastropoda; Conidae.
AACCAGAAAAUACGAAGUCAGACCUGCCCAGUGAAUUUUAAACGGCCGCGGUACUCUGACCGUGCAAAGGUAGCAUAAUCAUUGCCUUAUAAUUGAAGGCUGGAAUGAAUGGUUUGACAAGAAUACAUCUGUCUCUUUUUGAUUUCCUGGAAUUAAAUUUUGGGAUGAAAAAGUCCAGAUAUUAUUAAAAGACAAGAAGACCCUAUCGAGCUUUAGAAAAAUUCAAUGGACUCAAAAACAAUCAAUAGAAAUAAAAGAAGAGCCAUUAAGUGUACUUUGGUUGGGGCAACCGAGGAGCAAAUAAAGCCUCCUUUAAUCUUUAAGUCAGACGUGUGUUGAUCCAAAACUAUUGAUCAAAGGAAUUAGUUACCGUAGGGAUAACAGCAUUAUCUUUUGUGAGAGCCCAUAUCGAAAAAAAGGUUUGUGACCUCGAUGUUGGACCA